AGUGAACGCUGGCGGUAGGCCUAACACAUGCAAGUCGAACGGCAGCACAGUAAGAGCUUGCUCUUACGGGUGGCGAGUGGCGGACGGGUGAGGAAUACAUCGGAAUCUACUUUUUCGUGGGGGAUAACGUAGGGAAACUUACGCUAAUACCGCAUACGACCUACGGGUGAAAGCAGGGGAUCUUCGGACCUUGCGCGAUUGAAUGAGCCGAUGUCGGAUUAGCUAGUUGGCGGGGUAAAGGCCCACCAAGGCGACGAUCCGUAGCUGGUCUGAGAGGAUGAUCAGCCACACUGGAACUGAGACACGGUCCAGACUCCUACGGGAGGCAGCAGUGGGGAAUAUGGGACAAUGGGCGCAAGCCUGAUCCAGCCAUACCGCGUGGGUGAAGAAGGCCUUCGGGUUGUAAAGCCCUUUUGUUGGGAAAGAAAAGUAGCAGGUUAAUACCCCGCUGUUCUGACGGUACCCAAAGAAUAAGCACCGGCUAACUUCGU
RNAcentral lists this ribosomal RNA (491 nucleotides) under uncultured bacterium. RNAcentral's name for it is "partial 16S ribosomal RNA". It matches the Rfam family "Bacterial small subunit ribosomal RNA", at positions 29 to 506 of the family's 1533-position model. The record is from RNAcentral.